RNAcentral lists this unclassified non-coding RNA (7685 nucleotides) under Leishmania donovani. RNAcentral's name for it is "gene:LdHU3.14.1310(CDS-product:sodium/hydrogen_ex changer_putative)". Lineage: Eukaryota; Euglenozoa; Kinetoplastea; Trypanosomatida; Trypanosomatidae. The record is from RNAcentral.
UCCGUUGCACACGUCCAGCCUGUUUCGCUUCGUUGUUGUCUCCCCUGCUCUACGAUUUACGUCCUUUUCACCCUAUUCACUGCUUCCUCAGCACACACACACACACACACACACACACAUAUAUAUAUAUAUAUAUGUAUGGCUUAACCGUACAUAGUCAUACCCCGCCCUCCCCACACGUGUGUGCCCUUUUCUCACAUUGCACGAGCACCGCUUCCCAAACGCGAGCUUGUCUUUUUUUAUUGCGUGCGCGGCUCGACGUUAGAUGAGUGACAGACCCAACUACUACGCACAGCACCAGCCACAGCAGCAACAUCAGUACGUUGUACCUAAUCGUGACGGUCGAGUUGACAAGAGCAACACCGAUGCCCUGAUUGGGGACGUUGGACUGCACCCUCUGCCGCAGCAGCCUGUCGCAACCGGUAUACACAUGUCCUCGCUCAGGAACACUGAGGCCCUUGCGGCCCGAUUGCGGCCGCAGCACGAAGACGGUGCAGCCAGUAUCUCCAGCAGCUCCGCUGGGUCGUCUUUUCACCAACUCUCUCACCCCGACGCGAGCGGCGGCAGCCGCUCCGUCUUUGCGGACUCGCGCCGCACCGUCAUGUACGGGAAGCCGCACAAAAGCGAGGUGGUGGUGCCCGACCUGCUAGUGCGAAAGAGGGCAGGUACUGCCGGGACCGUCCACUUGGCGCAGUCCGCCGGCAGCAGCUACGAAUCCUUCACCCCGUUGCCCUGCCACGGUCCUUGCGGCGCCGACGAUGUUAGGUCGAACGCCUCCAAGGGCAGCCACCAUGACCUGACCGCGGCUCCGUCUACCUCUAGCUUCAGCGGCGGCUCACAACCGCAGACACCGGAGAACGCAGAGCGCGAUCACCACCACACCUCCCGCGCCGAGAACUUCAACGCUUCUUUCUCCUACUCGGACUCCUUCGUGAACCAGACGUACGUCAAGGAGCUACCGCCGCACUUGAUGCCGCUGGCGCACGAGAUCCACCAUCUGAACGAAGAGGACCUCGUGUACAUUGCGGACGUCACGCAUAUAAUGGCAAACCGCGACUUGUAUUCGCUCCUGCCUUACACAGGCAGCAACUGGUUCCUGCCGUCGAUCCGCGAGUGCUGCGAGGGCGAGAAGCACUGGGAGAUGCGCUGGUGUUGGAAGGAGGGGCUCAUCGUCGCGAUCGGCGGCCGCCGGCUGUCGAUCCGCGCGCUGAACAUCUUCAUUCGCGUGUGCUUUGUGGUACUGAUAUGGUUCCUGCUGUGGAACAUGCUCCCCCGCUGGCUCGUGGAGCCGGGCGGCUACGUCUGGGAUCCGUUGGUGCUCGUGAUCGUAUCCGCCAUCGUCGGUGGCCUCAUAUGCCGUAUCCUACAGCUACCGCCCCUUGUUGGUGUUCUGUGGGUGGGCAUCAUGUGGAACAACAUCCCGACGCUCAAGUACUUGACGCACGGCAUCGUGAAGGAGGUGUUCGACAUCUCCUCGAAGAUCGGGCUCACGGUGAUUCUCGCCCGUGCCGGCUACAAGCUCGCCAUCAAGGAUAUCAUUCCGCACUGGAAGCAGACCGCGCUGCUGGCAACGAUGCCGUUCGUAUUCGAGGGGGUCUCGCACAGCCUCAUUGCCAACAAGAUCUUCGACUACAACAACAACUACAACUGGGCGUUCCUGCAAGGCAUGCUGUGCAGCAUCGUGUCGCCGGCCGUCGUCGUGCCAGGUAGCUUGUACCUGCAGGACAUGGGCUACGGCUGUGGCGUGGGCCCCUUGUCACUUAUGCUCUCGGCAGUUGGUAUUGAGAUCGUAAUCGGCGUGUGGUGCACCAACUUCAUUAUUGGGCUGAUAUUUUAUGAUCAGAAGCUGGCCGUUGCAAUCGUCCUCGGCCCUGUGCAGUUCCUCGGUGGCAUCAUCAUCGGUAUUGGCCUUGGCAUUCUUUUCUUCUACGUCGUGGAGCUCAUCAAGCAGGAGGCGCACCGACUGCCGAACGGCAAGUACACCCGUGCGCACCUGAACAGCUGCAUGGACUUCGCCUUCGUUAUCUUUCUCUUCGAGUGCUAUGCGAUGGUGUUCUUUGGAUAUAAGAUGAACCUCGCCGGAGGCGGUUGUGUCAUGUGCGUCUUCUUUUCCGCCACAGUGGCGCACAUGUGGUCAAGGACAGGCAAGAUGGAGCACGAGGACCACAAGAAGUACGUGGCGACGUGGCUCGCCCUGUCCUGGGAUCAGGUGAUGAUGCCGAUCUUGUUUGCCACGAUGGGAGCCAAGAUCAACGUCAAGGCGAUCUUCAACAAAACCUUCUUCCCGAGGGCAAUCAUCUGCAUGGUGUGCAGCACAGCUGUGCGAUUUACCGUCACCUUCUUGAUUCAGAUUGGCAGUGGUAUGCCGUGGAAGGAGAAGUUGCUGGUAUGCGUGGGGUACCUUGGCAAGGCCUCGGCGCAGGCCUCCAUGGGGCCCAUCGCAGCGAACUUGGUGGCAGGGAUGAUUGCAGCACUGCCUCCGGGGAAGGAGCACUCACUCGCCACGAUGGCCGAGUUCGCGAACAACGUGCAGCAGAUCAGCGCAAUGUACGUCAUGUUCAUGGCGGUUGUGGCGUCGUUAGGCCUCGUGCGAGGCGGUAAAGUGGUCUUGAAGGGCGACCAAACCGCGGAAAAGUCGAGGGAGAAACGCGCCAGCGGAAGCUCGUCAAGUGGGGCCGCUGUCACCGGUGGCAUCAUCGUAGCGGAGAUGGAUUCCACCAUGGCCGAGAACGCCAGCCGGCACGCCCACUUGCCUGACGGUGCGCCGGCAGACCAGCGCCAGCCGUCGGUGAGCAGCAGCCCCGCCAAAGAUCAUGACGCGUUCCUCCCCCUCACCGGCCAGAUCGAGGACGAAAGGGUCACGGGCAACUCGGUCGACAGGCGGCGGGAGCACUAUUCGAGCAUCGCCUAGCAUCGCGCGCAGGUCCGCUUAUGCGAAACGAAAGUAGGUGUUUUCAAGCGCCCCGCUGUUGAAACUGAGCGCACACGCUGUCUCUCGUGCCCCGCCUGCGUCCCUGUAGCGCGGCCGAUGACUCUCCCCUGCUGCUUCCCCGCCACAACUUGCCUCUGGAGCAGCUGCAAGGCGGCGAGUGCACCGACGCCAGCUAUCAGCAUCUUCGCCCCCACCCCGCAUCAGCAGACGCAGAUAUCAAAGUGCAUGCACACGCUGUGAUGAUGCAUGCGUGUCUUGGCGCAUGAGGUGGGGUGGACAACCCAAAACGCAGGCUUCGGCUAUGCUUCGUCUCCUUGUCUUCGUUUGCCAGUUUGCUUGUCCUCACUUCUUGGUGCUGCACCCCCUCCUCCGCGCCACUCGCCUGUCUCCGUGGGCCUGCUAUACACGUGCGUACGUUCGUGUGGCUCACAGUCACACAAACCGCGUAUUUGAACAUCAGCAAGCCAGCUGCACAGGAGCAAGUCCCCACCCCCACCCCCGCCCCGUCUUCUCCCAACGAGAAGAGGAUAUGAGGGGCACCCGCCGAUCCAGAAGUGCGCUUCCUCUCCCGUUGUCUGCGUCCGUAUCAGUGUCUCUCUCGUGCCACCUCCUUCCCCAUCCGCUCGUUCGAUCCCCCAUCCCGUGCACCUAUUUCAUUCACUCGCUCCUUGCGCGCCCUCAUACGCAUCGCCCUUUCCCGUGAAGCGAAAUGGCAGAAACACAAAGGCGAAGGCAAAGGCAGAAGGGAGAGGAGAGGAGGGGAGUGGAUGGGAUGGAUGUAAAAAGGAAAACGAAAAUAGCGAAGAAGGAGCCAGAUAACGGAUUCAUGCGUCGAUAAACCCGCCCUCCCCUCCAUUCUCCUUCGCCUGCCUUCUGUGUCGCUGCGCAUCACCAAAGAAAAAGGGGCGGGGGAAGGGGAGAGAGGGGGAGGAGGAGCAAAACAACGCAAAAAGAAGACACGCUGCCUGUCCUUUUUCAUGCGUGUGCGUGUACAGGUAUGUGGUAUACGCGUAUAUAUUGGUAAGUGUAUAUAUACGUGCAUAUAUAUAUAUAUAUAUGCAUGUAUGCGUUGCUGUUGGCUGAUGUCGUUUCACUUUAUCGGGGUUGUCUUCGUUUUUUUUUCCUGUGUGCGUGUGUGUUUGGGUUCGUCUUUGUGGUUGCGUUGUACCCUGCUUCUCGCUGUCGUUUCUCUCCUGCCCUUUGCCGAGCCGUACAUGGAGGACGCGUAUCGAUGCUCAUGCCUCCGUCUAUCACUUUCUCUGACUUCAUAUCCCCCUAGCUGUUUUCUGCUGAGCCGAGGAUAAAGGGGACGGGGCAUUGAAAUGGUUUUCUGUGUAUGUGCGUGUGCCUGUUGUCGAGAUGCCUCCCACUGUUCAUUCCCUUCCCCCCCCCCUCGGCCACCUAACUACUUUUUCCCCAGCACCAUGCCGCUGGUGGUGGUGUGAGGGGCUACUGCAGCUCUUGCUUCAGUGGGGGUCACCUCUACGGCGUUUGUGUGUGUUUAUCUCCUCUGUUUAACGUUUUGCCUUUCUAAUCCGUGUCUUCCACUGCUCACUGCUGUUCUCGCCUGUUCGGCGCCGUUCUCUCCUUGCCUACCCCGUCCUCCUCUGCCUUGGCGGUGUUGUGCUGCACAUGGCUGACCACCGUGUCUGCACCUCCAUUUCCAAUUUUUGUUGGCGUAUGCUUUACCUCUUUGUGGGGCACCUGCGCGAUACGCACGCUUGCGUACACAGACGUCAACGCGAACACAGAUAACGGUUCACGGACACGAAACACGCGCGUUGCCUGUAUCCUUUUCUCUUUUUGGUCUUGCCUUGGCGUCUCUCUUGGCCUGUGUGUGCUUCUAUGGAGAAGAGGGCGUAACCACGCCGACUCCACCCACACGAACGUGCGGAGCCAGAGGUGCAGACGCAGGCUCAUAUCCACGCCUCAGACGCGUUUUGCUCGCUGUGCCGCGUAGGCUUCGUUUCCACGGGCGCGCUUCUCGAAGAAAAGUGUUUCGUGGGUGAGAGGCUGACGACAGAGGCAGUGAGGGGAGGAGAGCACAUGAGGGGCAUGUUGUCGUAAUGUGUGCAUGCGGAGGAGGAUGACCUUGAUGCUUGCUGGAGAGGGGGGAGGGCAUGAAGGAAUCUGGGGGGCAGCGCGGGCACACGGGGCGAGUUUGUGUGUAUGUGUGUGUGUGCGAGGAGGCGGCGGAAGGACGCAGGGAUACGCAAUAUUCCCUUUAAAGUGUUUUAAGUAUGAGGAUGGAAGCGAAGGCGAAAGGUUAGAGAGACAUGGCGUGGGGAGGCACCAAGAAAGAGCAUGCAGGGAGGAGGAUCAAUCGAGGUGGUAGUGGUGAAGUUCCCCUUUGGAAGGGUAAUGCCCCGCCUCCAUCCUCCCCUCCCCCUCCCCCAAACCUCCUCCAGCGGUGCUCGCACCUCUGUAUGUCUUUCCUACUCUUCGUAUUUCUCUCCAUUCUUUCCAAGCUUCUACUGUACCGCCACCCCUGUUGCUCAUUCCCUCCCCGAUUUGUCGACUCGUUUUCUGUUUUUAUUAUUUUUUUUUCGCAUUUGCUUUUCAAGACAGCUGCUCAUUGUGUUGCUAGCAGCAGCAGCGACUGCCUCUACGGUCGACGACGCCCCUCCUCGGCGUCCCCUCUCCCUUUCCUUUCCACUUGAAAGGCCUGCGCACGCUGCCUUUCCUCUUUUUUCUUUGAUGCUUUUCCUCUAAUUCGCUGCUGCGUCUUCUUGCGUGCUCUCACUUCUGUUUCCUGUGCGAUUCUACGCUUGUUGCCCACCACGGCCACAUGGUGCUCGGUGCGUGUGUAUACAACAUGCUCAUCAUCCAUCCCUUCCUUCCCUUUUCGCUUAUAUAGAAAUAUAUAUAUAUAUAUAUAUAUAUAUCUUGCGUGACAUCUUGCACUAAACGCGCAUUUCUUGUUGACUCCCUCCUCCUCCCCCCGCGCGCCGGCGUGGAGCUGCUGCGUUGGGUCUCUCUCUCUCCACGUCGAUGCGCAUGCAUGCCGCCAUCACCACCACUUCGCCCUCUUCGUCUUUGCGCUCCGCUCUCGCUCUGGAAGUCUUCGAAGCACUGUCUUUGUAGGCGAGCCGGCACCGUGAACCGGCGCAUAUGAUAGCAGCACGAGCCGGAGAAGGGAGGGGUGCCGAAGACCAUAAAACAGAAAGCAAGAGGCGAAAGGAUGGACGGCAAGACGCGUGAGCAGCAUCAGCGGCAGCAUGGAGAGCAAGCCUUAUUGACGAUGGUCACGUGGAGAGGGGUAUCAGGGGCUAAGUCGCUUCUUCUCUUUUCGGCUUGUCCGCCCUUCCCUCCCCUUCGUGACGAAUCCAUGCUUCUUGUUUCUUCUUUUCCGUGUGUGUGGGUGUCUUACCUUUGGUGUGCUGCUUGCCGUAUGCACUGACGGAAUUUUCUUUCCCUUUCGUUGUCUGAGCGCGCGGGUGUGUGCUCUCCUCCUGCGUCUCUAUUUCUUAGCUCUGUGGCGCUUUUACUUCAUUUAUUUAUUGUUAUUGUUUCUGUUCCACUUUACCCGCGACGAAUAAUGCGCGUGGGUGUGCUAUGGGCUGUCUCUGUCUCGCACUCGUAUGCUGUACACACUGCACACAGCAACGCCCUGCCCCCCACCUCCCCCCUCUUCUUCCUUCGCUGUACACACGCUAUCGUAGCGUUUUGCUCCGGCUCCGAUGUUUUCACUACCACCACCGCCCUCGGAGACAACGGAAAUAACUUCCCAUAAAAAGUAAAGGAGUGAGGGAAGCCCUGUUGCUGAAUGCAACGCACGCAGACGCGCCAGCGGCAAGUCAUCACCGCGUCUUCUCCCUCCCUUGUACUCCCCACGUUGCGCUCUCUUCUGGCCAUCACUUUCCUGUCCACGCGAGCUACACAGCGUGAACGCACGUCACGUGCUUUAGCGCACAAGCGCUUGUGGAUGUGUGUCUGCAUGCCCGUGUGUGCGGGAGGCUCUGCGUGUAUGCUUGGCCCUAAGAGGGGGAGGCGAGGGAGUGGGCGGCAGCGGCAGCCGCAUGAGCGCAUGAGGUUGAAGGUUUUUGUUGCGCUUUUACCUCUAAGCUUGCUGUGCAGGUGCGCGUAUGCGCGCGCUUGCUUCGCUUUUUUUUCCUUUCGUGCCGGUUCUCGCUUGCUGCCAAGUGUCUGUGCCACCUCCUCCGCAAACUCGCCGUCUUGGUCUCUCGUUGUGUGUUGGUUUUCGGAGUUCUUUGCACGCUCGUUUUCCAUGUUUUGCCUUUUCCUCUCCGUGUGUCUUUGUCUGUGUUUGUGUGUGUGUCCGUGAGGUCUCUGCACGGCGUCUGUGUCUCUCUCUUGCGUCCUCCAUCACGCAGCCUCCAAGGUCCUGGCGCAGGAACGCGAUCCGAAAAGCACCGCGAAAGGCAGCGGCCUGCGAUGUUCAGUUUCACAUUCAAACCUCAAAACAAGAAGGCAAUGUAGAAGGGUGGUGAGAGGUGGGGGGUGGAGACUCGAUUCUGCCCCCCCCCUCUCCUCUCCUGAGCGAGUGUGGAAAAUAACCAACGAACGGAAACGACUGCGGCGGGCGAAGAGGGGAAGGCAAUAGAGUGCGGCUGACGGUGUCAUACGCCGUCGCCAUCGAACCGUGUUUCGAAAAAUAAAAGGAAAAAAUGCCGCGACACAGCUACCACGCAUGCUCCAUUCAGUUAUAUGGAGCUUGCUGGGGGAGGGAGGGGGAGGGGCUCUUUGUCAAGUACAUGUGCGUUUCCUCUCGCCUGAGAAGGCGGUGACGGCG